UGCCCAGGCGCGAAAACUUUACAAUGCGGGAAACCGUGAUAAGGGAACUCCGAGUGCCCGUAAAAUCGGGCUGUCCAUCUGUUUAAAUAACAGGUGAAGAAGGGGCCGGGCAAGACCGGUGCCAGCCGCCGCGGUAAUACCGGCGGCUCGAGUGGUGGCCACUAUUACUGGGCUUAAAGCGUUCGUAGCUGGUCUGUUAAGUCUCUGGGGAAAUCUACUGGCUUAACCAAUAGGCGUUUCAGGGAUACUGGCAGACUAGGGACCGGGAGAGGUGAGGGGUACUCCAGGGGUAGGAGUGAAAUCCUGUAAUCCUUGGGGGACCACCUGUGGCGAAGGCGCCUCACCAGAACGGCUCCGACAGUGAGGGACGAAAGCUGGGGGAGCAAACCGGAUUAGAUACCCGGGUAGUCCCAGCCGUAAACGAUGCGCGUUAGGUGUAUCGGUGACCACGAGUCACCGAGGUGCCGAAGAGAAAUCGUGAAACGUGCCGCCUGGGAAGUACGGUCGCAAGGCUGAAACUUAAAGGAAUUGGCGGGGGAGCAC
RNAcentral lists this ribosomal RNA (543 nucleotides) under uncultured archaeon. Its description in RNAcentral is "bacterial SSU rRNA". It matches the Rfam family "Archaeal small subunit ribosomal RNA", at positions 331 to 879 of the family's 1478-position model. The record is from RNAcentral.